This 143-nucleotide non-coding RNA is filed under the name Marinosulfonomonas sp. PRT-SC04. RNAcentral's name for it is "FMN riboswitch aptamer (RFN element)". It matches the Rfam family "FMN riboswitch aptamer (RFN element)". Rfam says of the family: The RFN element is a highly conserved domain that is found frequently in the 5'-untranslated regions of prokaryotic mRNAs that encode for flavin mononucleotide (FMN) biosynthesis and transport proteins. RNAcentral also lists the same sequence under 1 other name. Lineage: Bacteria; Pseudomonadati; Pseudomonadota; Alphaproteobacteria; Rhodobacterales; Paracoccaceae. The record is from Rfam by way of RNAcentral.
GUAUGUUCUCAGGGCGGGGUGUAAUUCCCCACCGGCGGUAAUCAUUGACAUGAAAGCCCGCGAGCGCCUUCCAAUAGGAAGGGUCAGCAGAUCCGGUUAAAUUCCGGAGCCGACGGUUAAAGUCCGGAUGAAAGAGAGCGGGA